UGGCGGCGUGCUACACAUGCAGUCGAGCGAUGAAGUUUCCUUCGGGAAACGGAUUAGCGGCGGACGGGUGAGUAACACGUGAGCAACCUGCCUCAAAGAGGGGGAUAGCCUCCCGAAAGGGAGAUUAAUACCGCAUAAUAUCAGAAUUUCGCAUGAUUUUCUGAUUAAAGGAGUAAUCCACUUUGAGAUGGGCUCGCGGCGCAUUAGCUAGUUAGUGAGGUAACGGCUCACCAAGGCGACGAUGCGUAGCCGACCUGAGAGGGUGAUCGGCCACAUUGGGACUGAGACACGGCCCAGACUCCUACGGGAGGCAGCAGUGGGGAAUAUUGCGCAAUGGACGAAAGUCUGACGCAGCAACGCCGCGUGGGUGAUGAAGGUCUUCGGAUUGUAAAGCCCUGUCUUCGAGGACGAUAAUGACGGUACUCGAGGAGGAAGCCACGGCUAACUACGUGCCAGCAGCCGCGGUAAUACGUAGGUGGCAAGCGUUGUCCGGAUUUACUGGGCGUAAAGAGUGUGUAGGCGGAUAAUUAAGUCAGGUGUGAAAUCCCGGGGCUCAACCCCGGAGGUGCAUUUGAUACUGGUUAUCUAGAGUGCGGGAGAGGAGAGUGGAAUUCCUAGUGUAGCGGUGAAAUGCGUACAGAUUAGGAAGAACACCAGUGGCGAAGGCGACUCUCUGGACCGUAACUGACGCUGAGACACGAAAGCGU
RNAcentral lists this ribosomal RNA (707 nucleotides) under uncultured Eubacteriales bacterium. Its description in RNAcentral is "bacterial SSU rRNA". It matches the Rfam family "Bacterial small subunit ribosomal RNA", at positions 37 to 762 of the family's 1533-position model. Lineage: Bacteria; Bacillati; Bacillota; Clostridia; Eubacteriales. The record is from RNAcentral.